This 771-nucleotide ribosomal RNA is filed under the name uncultured bacterium. Its description in RNAcentral is "bacterial SSU rRNA". It matches the Rfam family "Bacterial small subunit ribosomal RNA", at positions 8 to 796 of the family's 1533-position model. The record is from RNAcentral.
AGAGUUUGAUCAUGGCUCAGGACGAACGCUGGCGGCGUGCUUAACACAUGCAAGUCGAGCGGAAAGGCCCUUCGGGGUACUCGAGCGGCGAACGGGUGAGUAACACGUGAGUAACCUGCCCUAGGCUUUGGGAUAACCCUCGGAAACGGGGGCUAAUACUGGAUAUUCCCGCGUGAUCGCAUGGUUGUGUGGGGAAGGGGUUUCCGGCUUGGGAUGGGCUCGCGGCCUAUCAGCUUGUUGGUGGGGUGAUGGCCUACCAAGGCGACGACGGGUAGCCGGCCUGAGAGGGCGACCGGCCACACUGGGACUGAGACACGGCCCAGACUCCUACGGGAGGCAGCAGUGGGGAAUAUUGCACAAUGGGCGGAAGCCUGAUGCAGCGACGCCGCGUGAGGGAUGACGGCCUUCGGGUUGUAAACCUCUUUCAGCCCUGACGAAGCGUAAGUGACGGUAGGGGCAGAAGAAGCGCCGGCCAACUACGUGCCAGCAGCCGCGGUAAGACGUAGGGCGCGAGCGUUGUCCGGAUUUAUUGGGCGUAAAGAGCUCGUAGGCGGCUUGUCGCGUCGGCUGUGAAAUCCCGUGGCUCAACUGCGGGCUUGCAGCCGAUACGGGCAGGCUAGAGUUCGGUAGGGGAGACUGGAAUUCCUGGUGUAGCGGUGAAAUGCGCAGAUAUCAGGAGGAACACCGGUGGCGAAGCGGGUCUCUGGGCCGAUACUGACGCUGAGGAGCGAAAGCGUGGGGAGCGAACAGGAUUAGAUACCCUAGUAGUCC